GAUGAACGCUAGCGGCAGGCUUAAUACAUGCAAGUCGUGGGGCAGCAGGGGUGUAGCAAUACACUCGCUGGCGACCGGCAAACGGGUGCGGAACACGUACGCAAUCUACCCAAAACUGGUGAAUAGCCCUCCGAAAGGAGGAUUAAUACACCGUAACCUAUUGAAGUGGCAUCACUUUAUUAUAAAAGCUCCGGCGGUUU
RNAcentral lists this ribosomal RNA (200 nucleotides) under uncultured bacterium. RNAcentral describes it as "partial 16S ribosomal RNA". It matches the Rfam family "Bacterial small subunit ribosomal RNA", at positions 28 to 221 of the family's 1533-position model. The record is from RNAcentral.